AAUUUAUUUAAUACUUUAAACAUUGAGGUUGUUUCCAGUGUUUUAUUACAGACACUGUCCUAUGAUUACCAUAAAUUCUUUAUAAGUAGAAUUUCUGGGUCAGCAUAUGUAUAGUAUGUAUACAGUUUCAAUUUGGAUGGUUAUGCCAAAUUACCUUCCAAAAAGACCACCUUUGGUUUCCACUCUCACCAGCAAUAUCUGAGCACCUGUCUCCCACAGCACUCAAGCAUCAAGCAGUCGUGCAUCAAGCAUCCAGCAGGCCCGAUCCCCGCAGGCCACCUACAGGGAAAGGCCACAGCUGCGCCCACACCUAUGAGACCUGGGAGGCCCAGCUCAAAUGGAUGGGUUUUGCCCACAGUUGGCUCCUCACUCCUCUGAUCUUCCCUCUACACAGCCCUGGGCCCCUGGCCUUGAAAAUUGCUGGGCGAAUUGCAGAAUUCUUCCCUGAUGCAGUACUUAUUAUGUUGGAUAAUCAGAAACUGGUGCCUCAGCCUCGUGUGCCCCCGGUCAUCGUCCUGGAGAACCAAGGU
This 530-nucleotide long non-coding RNA is filed under the name Homo sapiens (human). RNAcentral's name for it is "non-protein coding lnc-PSME2-1:3". The record is from RNAcentral. Lineage: Eukaryota; Metazoa; Chordata; Mammalia; Primates; Hominidae.